Brachypodium distachyon (stiff brome) is the source of this 744-nucleotide long non-coding RNA. RefSeq lists it as uncharacterized. The transcript is spliced from 2 exons. NCBI's taxonomy places the organism in Eukaryota, Viridiplantae, Streptophyta, Magnoliopsida, Poales, Poaceae. The record is from RefSeq and is a predicted model, not a curated record.
CGCAGGUUCUGCAUCCAGCUGCUGCUUCUGUCAAAAAAAAACAGCAAGGUUCGGGAUGUCUAUUUCGAUGAACUUGUUCCAAAGCUUGUGAACAACGGAAAUGAUGGCUCUCUCCAAGAGGAUCCACUAUGGCAAGUUUGUGGCAGAGGCAAAGUUCCAGGAGUCACCUGAAAAGUAUAAGCCUGCAAUCAGAGAGAAUGUAAGAGCACCGCAAUUAGUUCCUCCAUUCUCCAUAGAAAUCACAACAUGUAGGAGACAGUAAAUCUCACUGACAAGCUGCUGUUUCGUGACAAUCUUUUAUGCAGAACGAGGAGAUGCUGACUUAGCCCAAGGUUGAGGAAAAGGUUACUCGCUGUGUGACGACCAAGGCCAUGGUGUAUGUGCAGAAUGUGAACAGUGAUGCAGCAUUGGCCACGGAGCCGCCCAAGAUCAAGCCUCAUGCCAAUGACCAAGCAAGUGCAAGUGCAGUACCUCAUCUGGAUUGAGUCUGAGCCCCCAUCAUUUUUGCAUAUCUACCUGAAGAUACUUCACUCUAUGGACAUGCAGCAGCUUACCCUGAAAUGAUUAGGCCCUUUCUUUUUUUCUGAUAUCAUUCAAAUUUUCCUUCUAGUAGUUGCAGCUUUGUAGAGUCAGUUUCCUUGGGAACACUUGGUAGUUGCAGCUUCACUGGAGUCAAGCUUGGAUGGUUAAGAGUUGAGAUCAUGCUAUCAUUACUCUGAAUCAGAAUUCUGUUACCAGUGUUAA